Molecule: small nucleolar RNA, 324 nt
Filed under: Maudiozyma saulgeensis
Lineage: Eukaryota; Fungi; Ascomycota; Saccharomycetes; Saccharomycetales; Saccharomycetaceae
Description: Kazachstania saulgeensis Fungal small nucleolar RNA U3
Rfam family: Fungal small nucleolar RNA U3
About the family: Small nucleolar RNAs (snoRNAs) are involved in the processing and modification of rRNA in the nucleolus. There are two main classes of snoRNAs: the box C/D class, and the box H/ACA class.
Source: Rfam by way of RNAcentral
UAACACAUUCUACAGUAGGAUCAUUUCUAUAGGAAUCGUCACUCUUUGACUCUUCAAAAGAGCCACUGAAUCCAACUUGGUUGAUGAGCCUCAUAACCUUCAUUCCCUAGAGUGAGAAGAAUUUAUCUCGAUUUAGCUUGGUCCGCAAUCCUUAGCGGUUCGGCCAUCUACUUUAUUUUAAAUUUGUUUUUGCCGGUUUCAGUUAUAACUUUCUUUCGAGAUUACUUUAACAUUACAAUUGGCGCGAUGAUCUUGACCCUUGCUAUGAACUUCUUUAUUGAAGGUAUAGUACAUUGGGCGGGAAUGAAUGGCAGUCUGACAAGU